RNAcentral lists this ribosomal RNA (507 nucleotides) under Triticum aestivum (bread wheat). RNAcentral describes it as "partial small subunit ribosomal RNA". The record is from RNAcentral. Lineage: Eukaryota; Viridiplantae; Streptophyta; Magnoliopsida; Poales; Poaceae.
AUGAGAAGCAAAUUGUUUCUUGUUAUCCAAAAAAGAUUGCCACCAUGGCUAUACAGUAAUACAAUGAAUUUAUUCGUUGCUACAAAGAGAAAUGUCCAACACUGUCAAUUUUUGCAUGUCCAGCUUUCUCAGAAGAUGGCAUUAGGUAGUGUUCUUUCACGGCACUACUAUCUAUUUCAUGAGGAACCACUUGGCAGAUCUGUAGGAUCGCAAUGUUCAGCCUGGCUUCAAUCUUUGAUCUGGUGUAUGGGACAUUUGUACAAUACACAUAUGAAGAUAAGGGAGAAAGAGAUGUUUACUUGCUGUUCAAAAAGUUCUCUCACGUCACUUUUGGCCCAAGAGAAGAUAGAGUCCAAGUCUCUCACGUUCUGGACUCAGAUUCGGACUGCACAGACACACCUGAUUCAAAACGCCAAGAACUCUUUCAUCCGGACUCCGAAUUGGGUGAUUCUUUCACGCUCUUUCCAACCCAAUUGGAAUCACCUUAAAAUCCGUCCGGAGCGUUGA